This 68-nucleotide transfer RNA is filed under the name Acomys ignitus (fiery spiny mouse). RNAcentral describes it as "tRNA-Asp". The record is from RNAcentral. Lineage: Eukaryota; Metazoa; Chordata; Mammalia; Rodentia; Muridae.
AAGAUAUUAGUAAAAACAUUACAUAACUUUGUCAAAGUUAAAUCACAGACUCACCCCUGUAUAUCUUA